GCCCAUAGGAAUAUUAUUUGCUACUCGUGGCUCUUGUGCUUUUUCUAUAUACUGAGGACUCUGGGCACAAAAACAUAUUUCAGUUGAAUGUCAGCACUCAAUGAUGUAUAAAGGAAAAGGAGCCCAAAUAAU
Xenopus laevis (African clawed frog) is the source of this 132-nucleotide long non-coding RNA. RefSeq lists it as uncharacterized. The transcript is spliced from 2 exons. The record is from RefSeq and is a predicted model, not a curated record. NCBI's taxonomy places the organism in Eukaryota, Metazoa, Chordata, Amphibia, Anura, Pipidae.